UGGGGAAUAUUGCACAAUGGGCGCAAGCCUGAUGCAGCCAUGCCGCGUGUAUGAAGAAGGCCUUCGGGUUGUAAAGUACUUUCAGUCGGGAGGAAGGUGUCAAGGUUAAUAACCUUGGCAAUUGACGUUACCGACAGAAGAAGCACCGGCUAACUCCGUGCCAGCAGCCGCGGUAAUACGGAGGGUGCAAGCGGUAAUCGGAAUUACUGGGCGUAAAGCGCACGCAGGCGGUUGAUUGAGUCAGAUGUGAAAUCCCCGGGCUUAACCCGGGAAUUGCAUCUGAUACUGGUCAGCUAGAGUCUUGUAGAGGGGGGUAGAAUUCCAUGUGUAGCGGUGAAAUGCGUAGAGAUGUGGAGGAAUACCGGUGGCGAAGGCGGCCCCCUGGACAAAGACUGACGCUCAGGUGCGAAAGCGUGGGGAGCAAACA
Molecule: ribosomal RNA, 427 nt
Filed under: uncultured bacterium
Lineage: Bacteria
Description: partial 16S ribosomal RNA
Rfam family: Bacterial small subunit ribosomal RNA
Source: RNAcentral